GUAGCUCAGCUGGAUAGAGCAUCAGCCUUCUAAGCUGAGGGUCACAGGUUCGAAUCCUGUC
This 61-nucleotide transfer RNA is filed under the name Lautropia mirabilis. It matches the Rfam family "tRNA", at positions 7 to 64 of the family's 71-position model. Rfam says of the family: Transfer RNA (tRNA) molecules are approximately 80 nucleotides in length. RNAcentral also lists the same sequence under 1 other name. Lineage: Bacteria; Pseudomonadati; Pseudomonadota; Betaproteobacteria; Burkholderiales; Burkholderiaceae. The record is from RNAcentral.